CCUACGGGUGGCAGCAGUGAGGAAUAUUGGUCAAUGGGCGAGAGCCUGAACCAGCCAAGUCGCGUGAGGGAGUACUGCCCUAUGGGUUGUAAACCUCUUUUGUCGGGGAGCAAAAGCCGGACGUUUCCGGCUGUGAGAGUACCCGAAGCUAAAGCAUCGGCUAACUCCGGGCCAGCAGCCGCGGUAAUACGGAGGAUGCGAGCGUUAUCGUGAUUUGUUGGGUUUAAAGGGUGCGCAGGCGGCUUUUGAUGUCAGCGGUAAAAUCGUGGGGCUCAACCCCAUCCAGCGGUUGAAACUGGGGAUCUAGAGUGUGCGAGAGGUAUGCGGAAUGCGUGGUGUAGCGGUGAAAUGCAUAGAUAUCACGCAGAACCCCGAUUGCGAAGGCAGCAUACCGGUGCACAACUGACGCUCAGGCACGAAAGCGUGGGUAUCGAACAGGAUUAGAUACCCUUGUAGUC
RNAcentral lists this ribosomal RNA (458 nucleotides) under uncultured bacterium. RNAcentral describes it as "partial 16S ribosomal RNA". It matches the Rfam family "Bacterial small subunit ribosomal RNA", at positions 338 to 795 of the family's 1533-position model. The record is from RNAcentral.